AGUGAACGCUGGCGGCAGGCCUAACACAUGCAAGUCGAGCGGCAGCACAGUAAGAGCUUGCUCUUACGGGUGGCGACUGGCGGACGAGUGAGGCAUACAUCGUAUUCUUCUUUUUCUUGGGGGAUAACGUAGAGCAACCUACACUACUACCACAUACGUUCUACGGGUCAAAGCAGGGGUUCUUCGGACCCUGCGCGUUUGAAUGAGCCGAGUACGAAUUAGCUUGUCGGUGGGGUAAAGGCCCACCAAGGCAACGAUCCGUAGCUUGUCUGGCAGGAUGAUACGCAACACUGGAACUGCGACACGGUCCAGACUCCUACGGGAGGCAGCCGUGGGGAAUAUUGGACAAUGGGCGGAAGCCUGAUACAGCUAAACCGCGUGCGUGAAGAAGGCAUUCGGAUUGUAAAGCACUUUUUUUGGGGAAGAAAAGAUGGGGGUUAAAACCGCGCUAUUCUGACGGUACCCAAUGAUUAAGACACGGCUAACUUCGUG
This 492-nucleotide ribosomal RNA is filed under the name uncultured bacterium. Its description in RNAcentral is "partial 16S ribosomal RNA". It matches the Rfam family "Bacterial small subunit ribosomal RNA", at positions 29 to 507 of the family's 1533-position model. The record is from RNAcentral.